Molecule: long non-coding RNA, 2141 nt
Organism: Felis catus (domestic cat)
Lineage: Eukaryota; Metazoa; Chordata; Mammalia; Carnivora; Felidae
Exons: 3
Source: RefSeq, a predicted model, not a curated record
UGGGGUUACUUCAGGAUUAUUAAUUAAAUCAAUCUCCAUCUGGCUCCAAAUUCCAUCUGAAGCUUUUCCUCUCUUCUCCUUCCGGGAGAAGGAGCAGAGAGAAGAGAAUCACUGUGUUCCUGUCGCCGGCAUUUCUCACAAGGAGACUACCUCCUUGCCGUCACCGAUGAAGUUCCACGGAAAGAUAUUCUCGGAAUCCAUUCUGAGCCAAGCGAUCCGAACAAGAUCUAUCGGGUGUUGAGGGUCAAAUCCUGGGAUAAAUCAAAGUAUGGUCAAAGAGCUAUUGAGAAGGCAGAGCAGAAGGAACGUACAAGCAUGACUGGUGGAAAUGUAACCGCUCCAGAAAACCUCGGUCAGUUUCUCCAAAGUUAAUGUAUGGGAUCAUGUGACCCUGACAUCCCACUUCUCGGAAACCACCUGGAGAUGCAGAAGACAGAUGAUAUGCAGAUUGGAACACGGAACAAGGAGGUGAAAAACAGAGACCGUACCUUGCAGACAAUGGAGAUGUCAAAGGUCAACUAGAUCUUUAGUCAAAAGGUUAGAGGUCAAAAUUAGAUUGAGUGAUGGAACAAGCCAAGUGUGAGGAGAAGUGGGAAACGAAUAUGUGGCAUGGUCCUGAUCAGUUUUGCAUAUAAAAUUCCAAUUCCAAGAAUGCCAAGUCAUUGCAUAGCCCCAGAUUUUAUCAGCUUGGGGGAAGCAAAUCAUCUGGAGAUUCAGGGACUGGACAAAUGGGUCCAGGCUGGAGUUUAAGCUCUCACACUAAGGUCUCCCUGUAGGACAUCAUCGCAUAUAUCUGUGCAGGUUGGGAACUGCAUAAUUCCAAUGGGUCCGACCACACCGCAUCUAGUGACACCCCUGGAGUGCUGGGAUCAGUUGUGCAAUACUCCAUGGUCUCUGCAGCUGGAUUCCAAGAACGUGAGGAGGUCUGUUGCAUUUUUUUAGUGAUGGCAGGAAAUAUGAACAGAGGAAGAAGGGGAGGAGGGUAGAGAGAGGGAACGAGGAAGGAAGCCAGACUGAGAGAGAGAGAAAGAGGAGGGGGAGGAGGAGGAGGGGGAGAAGGAGAGAACACUUGAGUAAUAGUUCUAGUGAUCAGAUAGUUUAUUGUAAAAACUGGACUAUUUUAUUUUAUUUUAUUUUAUUUUAUUUUAGUAGGCUCCACACUCAACAUGGGGCUUGAACUUACAACUCUGAGGUCAAGAGUUGUAUGCUGUAUGGACUGAGCCAGCCAGGUGCCCCAAAGGUGGGAUAGUUUUGAAACUAUAGCAGAAGCUAUAGCUACACAAGAGCCAUUAAAAUUGGACACAGUAAUCAUAUGUUCACCCCAGGAAUAGGGCAUAUGUCCCUGGGCUUCAUUUGGUCCGGAUGAGAUUCUGUCUGCUACUUCUAACCACAGAGGGCUAUGGAGUGUGGCCCACAGAGGCAGCAGAGGGCAUCUGGGAAGCGUUGUAGGGACUUGGGGAUCCAGCUCUAGCCUUUCUGCACAGCAAGAAAGCAAGCUAUCGGGCAAGGCUUCUCAAAGUCCGAUGCCCCAAAUAUGCUUUCUUAAUUGUCUUGCCUAGGCCCAACCUCAAAUGCGUUCCCUUCUCCGUCCCUGGAAUGAAAACAGCCUUACUUGGAUGUGUUGGUGAUAUCUUGCCUUCUCUCCUCUUUCCUGAUGUUUUGGUAACUAGGCUUUAUAACCGGCAAACAGGUUCGCUCUUAAAGACUUAAUCAUUUCAGGGCUGUUUUGGCUUACCAUACUUCCCCCUAUGUGAUUAUCAGGACUGUCUUUAGUUACACGUCGACCAAAUAUGGUUAUGAUUUAAUGUGACCCUUGCACACAGCAUUAUAUGAAACGUAUGUCAGCUAACUGGCGUAUCCCAGGGGUUGCCCUGUCUUACCGACGAAUACGGUAUCAGUCUCAGGCGGUAUGAGAUUUGAGGGGCCCAUUGAAAUCACUUGUGAGGUUGUGAACAAACCAGCAUAAUAUAAGUGUGUGUGGUCACCUGGAGAGCUGGUUAAACCACAUUGCUGAGCCCUGCCCCCAGAGUUUCUGCUUCAGUAGGUCUGACGAGGGACAUAAGGCUUUGCAUUUCUUCUUCUUUUUUUAAAUGUUUAUAUUAUUUAUUUUUUGAGACACAUGGAUGCACACACACAGAGCA